AAUAUAAAAAGAAUAUUAUAAUUAAUAACAUGGUAAAAAAAAUAUAUCAAUGAAUUCAUACACAUAUAUGUAAGGCACGUUUGCAAUAAACACCUUAAUAAUUUCAUAAUUAUUUACGUAUACAGUGAAAAUGUGAAAGAAUUUAUACAUAUUCAAACAACAAUUGAUUCAUUUUACACUACUCUAGUUCUUUAGUUGGUUAUCCCGUACCGUGACCUCUUCUUACACAAUAUAACCAAACAAUCAAUCUCAUGUAAAAAAGAAAAUAAAACAAGUGAGAUCCACACAAAUCUGUAUGGAAAUGGUUCAAAAUAUCAUUUUUUAAUUAAACAAAUAUCCUGUUUAUAACAUCAUAGUAUCAGUUUUUUUACUGACAGGAAAGCGUCAAUUGCAUAAUUUACUCAUAUGAUAUAGAUGAUUCGAACAUGAGUAUUAUUGAUAUUUCAAUCAUAUUGACCGUUCUAAUUCGAUAUAUCAGUCAUCUUAAAAACCCAAGCAUCAGUGCUUGGUAUCUUCGAAAAAGAUAUAUUUGGCAAUGUUAUAUUAACACCAGACGGUUGCACUUUUGAAUAACUAAAGUUAUAAUCUUGAUACCCUAACAUUGUUAUCAAUGUGCUGCUACUAGUGAUAGGUGCAUUCAAAUACAAAUAAUUUGUAUCUGGCCAAUCCAAUAUGAUUGCAUAAACAUUUGUUGCUGUUUUCGUCUUUUUCAUUGUAUACCAACAUGUCCUAGUGGCAUUGUCGUGUUGAACUGUCCACGGUUUUGAACUAUAGAUAGCUUCGCCAUUUAUUCUCAUCCAUUUUCCAAACUGUAGAAGUCUUUCUUCAUAAACUGGUUGUAUAGUUCCAUAACUAGUUGGUCCAACGUUCAUAAGCAUAUUACCUCCACAGCUUACAGUUUGUGCGAAUGUUGCAAUUAGUUCUCGUGCUGAAAAAAAGUCCUCUAUCCGUGCAUCUCGUCGGAAGCCCCAAUGGUUUUUGUCUAUUGUCAUUGCAUUUUCGAACUUUCUUUUCUGAAGAGUUGUAGGAAGGUAUUUAUCACUGCACGUGAAGUAUCCACCAUGAUGACAUAUGUCGCCUUUGCCCCAGCGGUCAUUAGUGACAACCGUGUCCUUUACUGGGCUGUCAUUAUACAGCCAAGCUAAAAAUUCCUUUGACGUCCAAUAUGUGUCCGGUGCUUCCCAUGCUCCGUCCGACCAAACUACUUCGGGUUUAUAUCUAUUCACGAGCUCAUAUAAUUCAGGCAUCGAUUUAGAUUUCACAAAAUCUUGUGUUGUUAAAUUGUUUGCUUUGUCUCUAAGAUAUAAUGGGUUGUACCAUUCAAACAGAGAAUGAUACAGUCCAAAUCGCAGAUUUGUUGUAUUGCGAAUAGCAUCAGCAAG
This 1382-nucleotide long non-coding RNA is filed under the name Mytilus galloprovincialis (Mediterranean mussel). Lineage: Eukaryota; Metazoa; Mollusca; Bivalvia; Mytilida; Mytilidae. The record is from RNAcentral.